RNAcentral lists this ribosomal RNA (507 nucleotides) under uncultured bacterium. Its description in RNAcentral is "bacterial SSU rRNA". It matches the Rfam family "Bacterial small subunit ribosomal RNA", at positions 8 to 527 of the family's 1533-position model. The record is from RNAcentral.
AGAGUUUGAUCCUGGCUCAGGACGAACGCUGGCGGCGUGCUUAACACAUGCAAGUCGAGCGAGGCCCCGCCUUCGGGUGGGUGUCCUAGCGGCGAACGGGUGAGUAACACGUGGGCAACCUGCCCUCAGCUCUGGGAUAACUCCAAGAAAUUGGGGCUAAUACCGGAUAUGACCGCUGACCGCAUGGUCUGGUGGUGGAAAGAUUUAUCGGCUGGGGAUGGGCCCGCGGCCUAUCAGCUUGUUGGUGGGGUAGUGGCCUACCAAGGCGACGACGGGUAGCCGGCCUGAGAGGGUGACCGGCCACACUGGGACUGAGACACGGCCCAGACUCCUACGGGAGGCAGCAGUGGGGAAUAUUGCGCAAUGGGCGAAAGCCUGACGCAGCGACGCCGCGUGGGGGAUGACGGCCUUCGGGUUGUAAACCUCUUUCAGCAGGGACGAAGCGAAAGUGACGGUACCUGCAGAAGAAGCACCGGCCAACUACGUGCCAGCAGCCGCGGUAAUUCA